RNAcentral lists this ribosomal RNA (253 nucleotides) under uncultured bacterium. RNAcentral describes it as "partial 16S ribosomal RNA". It matches the Rfam family "Bacterial small subunit ribosomal RNA", at positions 524 to 776 of the family's 1533-position model. The record is from RNAcentral.
UACGUAGGGUGCGAGCGUUAAUCGGAAUUACUGGGCGUAAAGUGUGCGCAGGCGGCCGAGCAAGUCGAGUGUGAAAGCCCCGGGCUUAACUUGGGAAUUGCGCUCGAAACUACUUGGCUGGAGUGUGGCAGAGGAAGGUGGAAUUCCAGGUGUAGCGGUGAAAUGCGUAGAGAUCUGGAGGAACACCGAUGGCGAAGGCAGCCUGCUGGGCCAACACUGACGCUGAUGCACGAAAGCGUGGGGAGCAAACAGG